This is a long non-coding RNA of Sphaeramia orbicularis (orbiculate cardinalfish), 85 nucleotides long. RefSeq lists it as uncharacterized. The transcript has 3 exons. The record is from RefSeq and is a predicted model, not a curated record. NCBI's taxonomy places the organism in Eukaryota, Metazoa, Chordata, Actinopteri, Kurtiformes, Apogonidae.
UUGGGUGAAAGACUUCCCACACUGGUUACAGCCAUAUGGUCUUUCUCCUUUGUGGAUGCGCAAGUGUCUUUUCAGGCUCUUCACU